GACGUAGGGCGCGAGCGUUGUCCGGAUUUAUUGGGCGUAAAGAGCUCGUAGGCGGUCUGUUGCGUCGGCUGUGAAAACCCGGGGCUCAACUCCGGGCCUGCAGCCGAUACGGGCAGACUAGAGUUCGGCAGGGGAGACUGGAAUUCCUGGUGUAGCGGUGAAAUGCGCAGAUAUCAGGAGGAACACCGGUGGCGAAGGCGGGCCUCUGGGCCGAUACUGACGCUGAGGAGCGAAAGCGUGGGGAGCGAACAGG
Molecule: ribosomal RNA, 253 nt
Filed under: uncultured bacterium
Lineage: Bacteria
Description: partial 16S ribosomal RNA
Rfam family: Bacterial small subunit ribosomal RNA
Source: RNAcentral